RNAcentral lists this ribosomal RNA (428 nucleotides) under uncultured bacterium. RNAcentral describes it as "partial 16S ribosomal RNA". It matches the Rfam family "Bacterial small subunit ribosomal RNA", at positions 354 to 796 of the family's 1533-position model. The record is from RNAcentral.
GUGGGGAAUAUUGGGCAAUGGGCGAAAGCCUGACCCAGCAACGCCGCGUGAGGGAAGAAGGUUUUCGGAUUGUAAACCUCUGUCCUUGGUGACGAACACAAUGACGGUAGCCAAGGAGGAAGCCCCGGCUAACUACGUGCCAGCAGCCGCGGUAAUACGUAGGGGGCAAGCGUUGUCCGGAAUGACUGGGCGUAAAGGGCGUGUAGGCGGCCGAUUAAGUCUGGAGUGAAAGUCCUGCUUUCAAGGUGGGAAUUGCUUUGGAGACUGGUUGGCUUGAGUGCGGAAGAGGCAAGUGGAAUUCCCAGUGUAGCGGUGAAAUGCGUAGAGAUUGGGAGGAACACCAGUGGCGAAGGCGACUUACUGGGCCGUAACUGACGCUGAGGCGCGAAAGCGUGGGGAGCGAACAGGAUUAGAUACCCGUGUAGUCC